Molecule: small nuclear RNA, 110 nt
Organism: Anguilla rostrata (American eel)
Lineage: Eukaryota; Metazoa; Chordata; Actinopteri; Anguilliformes; Anguillidae
Source: RefSeq, a predicted model, not a curated record
GCAUUGUAUGAAAGGGGAGAAGGUCGGCACCCCAAGCAUGGAAACGGUCCUACUGGCCCACAUAUGGGUAAGGCAUUCCCACUCACUGCACAGUAAAACUACAACUAUGG